Molecule: RNA transcript, 2646 nt
Organism: Physeter macrocephalus (sperm whale)
Lineage: Eukaryota; Metazoa; Chordata; Mammalia; Artiodactyla; Physeteridae
Exons: 3
Source: RefSeq, a predicted model, not a curated record
UGUCAUGCAGCAGUCCAGUUCCCGGACCCCCUCCAGGGCACAGCCGGUCCGGCCAGGGCGGGUCCCCAGGAGGGCCGGGGUGCAGGGCCGCCACGGACCGCAUCCCUGGAGCCUGCCCGCCCAGGAUGCCCUGGAGCAAGGCCACCUCCUUCUGGCAGAGAGGACUCUGGGAGGUUCCCCAGAGCCUGAGUCUGUCCCUAGGGGAGGCGGCCAGGGUCAGCAAGGGCUUGCUGCUCAGAAAAGCCAGCUCUGUCUCCUUUGCCCAGCUGGGCACACAGGGGCGGCCCUAAAGGCUGAGAGGCUGGUUGACUCUCAGAGCCGGUGUCCAGGUCCGGACCGACAGAGCCAUGAAGGGCCUUGGAUGGCUGCCGUGGCCCUGCAGCCGCGAGAUAAUGCUGAACGCGGGCAGCCCUGCCUACACGGUGGCCUGACCCUGGCCCGGGGUGACGACCUGGCAGGGGCCAAGGAGGAGCCGGGUGGCUUGGGCCCACCAGGCGUGGGGCCCUGGGAGGAAGUGGGGACAGACCCCAAAGCCUGGCCCUCUGGGCACACUUGCCUCACGCCGGUGGCCAUCCCUGGGCGCCCCCUGUGCCCCUGGGUUCCCGCCGAGGGAGCCAACCCCCAGGUCCAGCCCGGGGAGGGCUCUGGGAGUUGAUGGUGGUGGUCCUCGGAGGCCCAGGCCCACCUGGGACCCGGGCAGGCUCUGGAGAGGGUAAGAGACAGUGGAAGUGCCCUCGGGGGGGCCUUCUGCUGGAUGAGCACUCAGCCCCCAAAAAAGGGGGUCCUGGAGCCUGGAGAGGGCACAGCGGAGGGGUCGUGACCUGAGGGGCGCUGGGCUGGUGGGGGAAGCCCAGGAGACAGCCCUUGGUCUCGGGCCACGGCGCACAGCGCCUGUCGUGCCGUGCGGGGUCCACGAGCCCAGCAGCGGGUUCCUCAGGAUCCGGACACGGGGCUGGCGGCCAGAGUGCUCCCCGCCCCCAUACCGUUGGAGCCCCUUCCUGGCCUACAAGAAGGCGGGGGCAGAGGCCAGAGCUCUGGGGUCUUUUUGCUGACUUAACCUCCAGGCACUUUAACGCUUCAUUUUCAAUUCUAUACAAUUCUCAUCACUUCCUUUCCUCCAGCACCUUCUGAGCGGGGUCCCUGCUGCUUGGAGUGCGUAUACGCACAUGUGCCUGCGUGUGCCUGCGUGUACCGGUGAGCACUGCAUGUGUGUACAGGCACGUGCCUGGUGUGCGUGGGGGUGCGUGUGCGUGUGGGCUGGGGAGAGCUGCUGGCGCUGAGAUGUCCCUCCCCCUCCUCCUUCUCAGGCCCCCACUGGGUCGGGCUGUGUCUGGGACCCGAGCUGCGGUGGUCUUCCGUUCCCCCCAGACCCUCUGUCAAUGAGGACCCCUUGGUGGGAGCAGAGACUCCUGCCAGGGGGCCAUGUCUCCGCCCUUUCCUUCCCAGGAGGCCCUGGUUCAGACAGAAGGACCCUGGACACCCUCCCAAGACUGCAGCAGCCGAGAGGGGCGUGUUUGCCUGGCUGGGCGUGCUGAGGGGUGGCCCGGCUGUCCUCUGGCCACUGUCUGGACCUCUUUGUGGUGGAGGCCAUGUGGCCAAUUCCCGUGGAGGUUCUUGUCUAGUGCCUGGAAUAAGCCCUUAAGGGGCUGAAAUGGAUCCAGUUUCCAGUGACACUCAGAGCUCAGCACCGGGUCCCCAAAGCUCGGGGAAGGAGAGGAGAGCUGCGGUGGGCAGUGCAGAGCUGCCCAGCAGGGGAGGCCCUUCUUCGCACUCUGGGGGGGCCCUGGGGACUGCCAUGGCCCCAGCGCCCUCCGAGCCUCGGCCUGAGGAAGGGGAGCCUAGUGACAGCCGCCCUGAAGCCGUGCCCAUCCCGAGCCCGUCCAAGCCACAGGGUGGAGAGGAGAAAACAGAAGAAGCCAGAGUACAGCCAAUAAAGUCUCCUUUAUGCUCCGGCCAACCCGAAUCCGCAGACUCAAAAUAAUAAAGUGAAGCUGUGGGUUGCACCCCAGAUUCGGCCGGCACAGCCCAGAGACGCCACUGCUCCGGGGGCCUCCUACCCGGGCUUCUCCCUAGAGCCCCUGCCCUGCCCAGACAUCCACGUGCUGUCGAGGAGAUGCCCUCCGAUGGGGCCCUGCGGCUGGGCAACGAAAGAGACUUAGCUCCAGGCCACCAAGGGCAGCAUCUCAACAUCAAAAUGACCUUCCGUGAUGCUCUAGCUGGUGGCGGCACAGAAGGUCCCACCGGCCGGGGGAAGCAGCCCCGCCACGGCCAGCGCCGAGUCAGCCUGCAUCUCCCCUCCCUGAAAAAUGGGGUGUGGAGUGAAAGAAUCUCUGAAGCCCCUCAUGGCUGCAUAGGUAAGCUUCCCAUUCUUUGGAGAUGGUCCAGCGAGAGGAGCCUGACUCCCGUGGAUCUGCCGGACCUGGCGAGCCUCCGUGGCCUGGCUUCUGGGGGCGCGGGGAUGGAGGGGCCCAGGGAUGCUCUUCCUCAUAUUCCGCCCUCCCUCCAGCCGACUUCCCUGCAGGGACCCGGAGGCUCCGUGGGUAUCUGGGGUUGAUUUUUGGAUGCAAAUCUUUGAAUGUACCCAGAAGAGCUGGAGAGGUGUCCCCAAACCCCUUUACCUAAUAAAAUGGCUUGGUCUCCACCUGG